AAAAAUUUAAAUUUUUUCCAUAAAACUUAAAAUUAUAAUAAUCCAAUGCCUUAAACUUUAAAUUUUAUUGCCAAAUCCAUAGAAAUAUUAUUUUAAAUGAGCUAAUUUUAUAAUUUUCAUAACAAUUAAUCAACUUUGUUACCAGAGUACAAAAUCCUUUCAGGGUGGUUGUUAUCAUAAUUAUGAGUUUAAGGCAUUUGGUUACCAUAUAUAUAUUUUAGUAGAUAAAAUUUAAAUUUUUUUAAAUUAAUUUUAGGCUUUAGCUAUAACUACACUAAAUUAUUAGAAUUAAUUUUA
Molecule: unclassified non-coding RNA, 297 nt
Filed under: Hevea brasiliensis (rubber tree)
Lineage: Eukaryota; Viridiplantae; Streptophyta; Magnoliopsida; Malpighiales; Euphorbiaceae
Source: RNAcentral